GACGAACGCUGGCGGCGUGCUUAACACAUGCAAGUCGAACGAUGAAGCGCUGUCUUUUUGGUGGUGUGGAUUAGUGGCGAACGGGUGAGUAAUACGCGGGCAACCUGCCCCUCUGCUUCGGGAUAAGCUUUGGAAACGGGGUCUAAUACCGGAUGUGCCUGUCUGGUCGCAUGGCUGGGCGGGGAAAGAUGUUUUUCGGCGGGGGAUGGGCUCGCGGCCUAUCAGCUUGUUGGUGGGGUGACGGCCUACCAAGGCGUCGACGGGUAGCCGGCCUGAGAGGGUGGUCGGCCACACUGGGACUGAGAUACGGCCCAGACUCCUACGGGAGGCAGCAGUGGGGGAUAUUGCACAAUGGGCGCAAGCCUGAUGCAGCGACGCCGCGUGGGGGAUGGAGGCUUUCGGGUUGUAAACCCCUUCGGCGCGGGACAAGGCUCCGUUGGCGGG
RNAcentral lists this ribosomal RNA (444 nucleotides) under Actinomyces sp. oral taxon 446. RNAcentral describes it as "bacterial SSU rRNA". It matches the Rfam family "Bacterial small subunit ribosomal RNA", at positions 28 to 468 of the family's 1533-position model. The record is from RNAcentral. Lineage: Bacteria; Bacillati; Actinomycetota; Actinomycetes; Actinomycetales; Actinomycetaceae.